CCUACGGGAUGCACCAGGGGGGAAUAUUGCACAAUGGGUGCAAGCCUGAUGCAGCCAUGCCGCGUGUAUGAAGAAGGCCUUCGGGUUGUAGAGUACUUUCAGCGAGGAGGAAGGCAUUAAGGUUAAUAACCUUGGUGAUUGACGUUACUCGCAGAAGAAGCACCGGCUAACUCCGUGCCAGCAGCCGCGGUAAUACGGAGGGUGCAAGCGUUAAUCGGAAUUACUGGGCGUAAAGCGCACGCAGGCGGUCUGUCAAGUCGGAUGUGAAAUCCCCGGGCUCAACCUGGGAACUGCAUUCGAAACUGGCAGGCUAGAGUCUUGUAGAGGGGGGUAGAAUUCCAGGUGUAGCGGUGAAAUGCGUAGAGAUCUGGAGGAAUACCGGUGGCGAAGGCGGCCCCCUGGACAAAGACUGACGCUCAGGUGCGAAAGCGUGGGGAGCAAACAGGAUUAGAUACCCCCGUAGUC
This 465-nucleotide ribosomal RNA is filed under the name uncultured bacterium. RNAcentral's name for it is "bacterial SSU rRNA". It matches the Rfam family "Bacterial small subunit ribosomal RNA", at positions 338 to 795 of the family's 1533-position model. The record is from RNAcentral.